This is a long non-coding RNA of Budorcas taxicolor (takin), 410 nucleotides long. RefSeq lists it as uncharacterized. The transcript is spliced from 3 exons. The record is from RefSeq and is a predicted model, not a curated record. Lineage: Eukaryota; Metazoa; Chordata; Mammalia; Artiodactyla; Bovidae.
CCGUGCCAGCGCGUGCUGAUGCCUUCAGCAGCCGUUUCUCCUCCCUGGGGGGUGGCUCUUCCUUGUGGCCUCUGCAGUCUGCUCUCCAGGCCUUAAGACUUCAGCAGCACAUGAGGGGCCUCCAAGACCUUUUUGUGGGGAAAGGGCCUGGGAGCCCCCCAGGGUGCCCAAGUUUAGCUGAGGGAAAGAGGAUGCCAGCGUGACAACACGAGAGACAAGUAGUGCUGCACUAAAGCCCUCCCCAAGGCUCUGCCCAGCCCUACCUCAUGAACUUCUCCAUGACCUCCUCCACCCACAUCUGCAGUCUCAGGAAGCUGAUGCCGUAGUGCCACCAGAGGCGGAAGAGGUUCAGCAGGUACCAGUCUGUCUCCUCCAGCACGAAGUUCUCCCCAUUGAAGAUGGCGCUCCUG